RNAcentral lists this ribosomal RNA (313 nucleotides) under Globigerinoides elongatus. RNAcentral's name for it is "SSU rRNA". The record is from RNAcentral. Lineage: Eukaryota; Foraminifera; Rotaliida; Globigerinidae.
UGAUAGGUGGUGCAUGGCCGUUCUUAGUUCGUGGAGUGAUCUGUCUGCUUAAUUGCGUUUCAAAAUUUAAACCUGAGCGACAAGGUGCUGCUAUCGAAACUGUCUUUGAGUGUGAACUAUAAGUCUUUUGACUUAUGACCAUCACUCUAGACGUUUAUGUUUUGGUGUUGGCCCUUGAUGCUCAUUUGAACGCAACGGACGUGAUUGCAACCCCUUGUUGAGAUUUAUCCGAUCUCUACGUUCACUGAACCACACUCUUUAGCGAGAGCAGUGGGGAUGUGGAUAAACUCGGGGGACUGCUGACUAUAAACUU